GAUGAACGCUGGCGGCGUGCCUAAUACAUGCAAGUCGAGCGAACAGACGAGGAGCUUGCUCCUCUGACGUUAGCGGCGGACGGGUGAGUAACACGUGGAUAACCUACCUAUAAGACUGGGAUAACUUCGGGAAACCGGAGCUAAUACCGGAUAAUAUAUUGAACCGCAUGGUUCAAUAGUGAAAGACGGUUUUGCUGUCACUUAUAGAUGGACCCGCGCCGCAUUAGCUAGUUGGUAAGGUAACGGCUUACCAAGGCAACGAUGCGUAGCCGACCUGAGAGAGUGAUCGGCCACACUGGAACGGAGACACGGUCCAGACUCCUACGGGAGGCAGCAGGAGGGAAUCUUCCGCAAUGGGCGAAAGCUUGACGGAGCAACGCCGCGUGAGUGAUGAAGGUCUUCGGAUCGUAAAACUCUGUUAUUAGGGAAGAACAAAUGUGUAAGUAACUAUGCACGUCUUGACGGUACCGAAGCAGAAAGCCACGGCUAACUACGU
Molecule: ribosomal RNA, 496 nt
Filed under: uncultured bacterium
Lineage: Bacteria
Description: partial 16S ribosomal RNA
Rfam family: Bacterial small subunit ribosomal RNA
Source: RNAcentral